AGGACGAACGCUGGCGGCGUGCUUAACACAUGCAAGUCGAGCGGAAAGGCCCUUCGGGGUACUCGAGCGGCGAACGGGUGAGUAACACGUGAGCAACCUGCCCUUAGCUCUGGGAUAGCUCCGGGAAACCGGAAUUAAUACCGGAUAUGACCUAGGCCGACAUCGGCCGUGGUGGAAAGUUUUUCGGCUAGGGAUGGACUCGCGGCCUAUCAGCUAGUUGGUGGGGUAAUGGCCUACCAAGGCGACGACGGGUAGCCGGCCUGAGAGGGCGACCGGCCACACUGGGACUGAGACACGGCCCAGACUCCUACGGGAGGCAGCAGUGGGGAAUCUUGCGCAAUGGGCGAAAGCCUGACGCAGCGACGCCGCGUGGGGGAUGGAAGGCCUUCGGGUUGUAAACCCCUUUCAGCAGGGACGAAGCGAAAGUGACGGUACUGCAGAAGAAGCGCCGGCUAACUACGCGCCAGCACGCCGC
Molecule: ribosomal RNA, 475 nt
Filed under: uncultured bacterium
Lineage: Bacteria
Description: SSU rRNA
Rfam family: Bacterial small subunit ribosomal RNA
Source: RNAcentral